AGUGAACGCUGGCGGUAGGCCUAACACAUGCAAGUCGAACGGCAGCACAGUAAGAGCUUGCUCUUACGGGUGGCGAGUGGCGGACGGGUGAGGAAUACAUCGGAAUCUACUUUUUCGUGGGGGAUAACGUAGGGAAACUUACGCUAAUACCGCAUACGACCUACGGGUGAAAGCAGGGGAUCUUCGGACCUUGCGCGAUUGAAUGAGCCGAUGUCGGAUUAGCUAGUUGGCGGGGUAAAGGUCCACCAAGGCGACGAUCCGUAGCUGGUCUGAGAGGAGGAUCACACGCACUGGAUCUAAGACACGGUCCAGACUCCUACGGGAGGCAGCAGUCGGGAAUAUUGGACAAUGGGCGCAAGCCUGAUCCAGCCAUACCGCGUGCGUGAAGAAGGCCUUCGGGUUGUAAAGCCCUUUUGUUGGGAAAGAAAAGCAGCAGGUUAAUACCCCGCUGUUAUGACGGUACCCAAAGAAUAAGCACCGGCUAACUUCGUG
Molecule: ribosomal RNA, 492 nt
Filed under: uncultured bacterium
Lineage: Bacteria
Description: partial 16S ribosomal RNA
Rfam family: Bacterial small subunit ribosomal RNA
Source: RNAcentral